RNAcentral lists this unclassified non-coding RNA (329 nucleotides) under soil metagenome. RNAcentral's name for it is "partial contains 5.8S ribosomal RNA, internal transcribed spacer 2, and large subunit ribosomal RNA". The stretch from base 1 to 120 matches the Rfam family "5.8S ribosomal RNA", at positions 35 to 154 of the family's 154-position model. The record is from RNAcentral.
GAUGAAGAACGUAGCGAAAUGCGAUAAGUAAUGUGAAUUGCAGAAUUCAGUGAAUCAUCGAAUCUUUGAACGCACAUUGCGCCCCCUGGUAUUCCGGGGGGCAUGCCUGUCCGAGCGUUAUUACAACCCUCAAGCUCAGCUUGGUGUUGGGCCCCGCCGCCCCGGCGGGCCCUAAAGUCAGUGGCGGUGCCGUCCGGCUCCGAGCGUAGUAAUUCUUCUCGCUCUGGAGGUCCGGUCGUGUGCUCGCCAGCAACCCCCAAUUUUUUUCAGGUUGACCUCGGAUCAGGUAGGGAUACCCGCUGAACUUAAGCAUAUCAAUAAGCGGAGGA